RNAcentral lists this ribosomal RNA (364 nucleotides) under uncultured Glomus. RNAcentral's name for it is "SSU rRNA". It matches the Rfam family "Eukaryotic small subunit ribosomal RNA", at positions 569 to 937 of the family's 1831-position model. Lineage: Eukaryota; Fungi; Glomeromycota; Glomeromycetes; Glomerales; Glomeraceae. The record is from RNAcentral.
AGCAGCCGCGGUAAUUCCAGCUCCAAUAGCGUAUAUUAAAGUUGUUGCAGUUAAAAAGCUCGUAGUUGAAUUUCGGGGUUAGUAGAUUGGUCAUGCCUCUGGUAUGCACUGGUCUUACUGAUUCCUCCUUCCUGAUGAACCGUAAUGCCAUUAAUUUGGUGUUGCGGGGAAACUGGACUGUUACUUUGAAAAAUUAGAGUGUUUAAAGCAAGCUAACGCUUGAAUACAUUAGCAUGGAAUAAUGAAAUAGGACGUUCGAUCCUAUUUUGUUGGUUUCUAGGAUUGACGUAAUGAUUAAUAGGGAUAGUUGGGGGCAUUAGUAUUCAAUUGUCAGAGGUGAAAUUCUUGGAUUUAUUUGAAGACU